GACGAACGCUGGCGGCGUGCUUAACACAUGCAAGUCGAACGGAAAGGCCUGCUUUCCCUUGUGGAUUGCGGGUGCUCGAGUGGCGAACGGGUGAGUAACACGUGAGUGAUCUGCCCCCAACUUGGGUAUAAGCCCGGGAAACUGGGUCUAAUUCCCGAUAGGACUGCAGGGUGGUGCCUGUGGUGGAAAACGAUUUUCUAGUGGUUGGGGAUGAGCUCGCGGCCUAUCAGCUUGUUGGUGGGGUAAUGGCCUACCAAGGCGGCGACGGGUAGCCGGCCUGGGAGGGUGGACGGCCACAUGGGGACUGGGAUACGGCCCAGACGCCGACGGGAGGCAGCAGUGGGGAAUAUUGCACAAGGGGCGGAAGCCUGAGGCGGCGACGCCGCGUGGGGGAUGACGGCCUUCGGGUUGUAAACUCCUUUCGACCGCGAGGAAGCCACCUGGUUGGAAGGGUGGUGACGGUAGUGGUAGAAGAAGCACCGGCUAACUACGUG
Molecule: ribosomal RNA, 494 nt
Filed under: uncultured bacterium
Lineage: Bacteria
Description: partial 16S ribosomal RNA
Rfam family: Bacterial small subunit ribosomal RNA
Source: RNAcentral